This 254-nucleotide ribosomal RNA is filed under the name uncultured bacterium. Its description in RNAcentral is "partial 16S ribosomal RNA". It matches the Rfam family "Bacterial small subunit ribosomal RNA", at positions 524 to 776 of the family's 1533-position model. The record is from RNAcentral.
UACAGAGGGGGCAAGCGUUGUUCGGAAUUACUGGGCGUAAAGGGCGCGUAGGCGGCGUGACAAGUCACUUGUGAAAUCUCCGGGCUUAACUCGGAACGGUCAAGUGAUACUGUCGUGCUAGAGUACAGAAGGGGCAACUGGAAUUCUCGGUGUAGCGGUGAAAUGCGUAGAUAUCGAGAGGAACACCUGCGGCGAAGGCGGGUUGCUGGGCUGAUACUGACGCUGGAGGCGCGAAAGCUAGGGGAGCGAACGGG